RNAcentral lists this ribosomal RNA (780 nucleotides) under Psoroma paleaceum. RNAcentral's name for it is "SSU rRNA". It matches the Rfam family "Bacterial small subunit ribosomal RNA", at positions 370 to 1210 of the family's 1533-position model. The record is from RNAcentral. Lineage: Eukaryota; Fungi; Ascomycota; Lecanoromycetes; Peltigerales; Pannariaceae.
AAUAGCCUAACGGCUGAACCAGCAACUUGGAAGAAUGUAUAGCAAGAGCUAAUUGUAUUAACAAAAAAAAUAGUUUUUACAAUCUCGAUUUAUUCGAAUAAAAUUCUAGGUAGAUUUAUGAUAAUGACAUUAUCUAUCUAUGUGUCUUGACCAAAGUACGUGCCAGCAGUCGCGGUAAUACGUAAAAGACUAGUGUUAUUCAUCUUUAAUUGGUUUAAAGCGUACCUAGACGGUAAUUAUAGCCUAAACCAGGUACUUUUUUACUAGAGUUAUAUGUAAGGGUGUAUUAAAGUACUGUUGAGUUUAGAGAUGAAAUUCUUUGACACCAGAUAAUUGGCACAGGUAUAGGCGAAAGCAUCACUUUAUGUAAUAACUGACGUUGAGGGACGAAGGCUAUGUGUCGCGAACAGGAUUAGAUACCCUAGUAGUCUUAGCAGAAAAUUAUGAAUGUCAUAGGUUAGAUUUUAUUUGGUCUAUAAAUGAAAGUGUAAGCAUUCCACCUCAAGAGUAAUUUGGCAACAUUGGAACUGAAAUCAUUAGACCGUUUCUGAAACCAGUAGUGAAGUAUGUUGUUUAAUUUGAUGACCCGCAAAAAACCUUACCACAAUUUGAAUAUAUUUUUACAAGCGUUGCACGGCUGUCUUCAGUUAAUGUCGUGAGAUUUUGGUUAAGUCCAUUUAAUUAACGUAAACCCUUACUCUAUUUUUAUAUAGAGUUUUCCACCGUCAUAUUGGAUGUGAUAAAAGGGACUAAGACAAGUCAUCAUGGCCUUAAUAUUGU